CAGAGGGUGCAAACGUUGUUCGGAAUUACUGGGCGUAAAGCGCGUGUAGGCGGCCCUGCAAGUCGGAUGUGAAAUCCCACGGCUCAACCGUGGAAGUGCAUUCGAAACUGCAGGGCUAGAGUCCUGGAGAGGAAGGUGGAAUGCUUGGUGUAGAGGUGAAAUUCGUAGAUAUCAAGCGGAACACCGGUGGCGAAGGCGGCCUUCUGGACAGUGACUGACGCUGAGACGCGAAGGCGUGGGGAGCAAACAGGAUUAGAUACCCUGGUAGUCCACGCCGUAAACGAUGAGAGCUAGGUGUCACGGGCUUUGACCCUCGUGGUGCCGAAGCUAACGCGUUAAGCACUCCGCCUGGGGAGUACGGCCGCAAGGCUA
Molecule: ribosomal RNA, 372 nt
Filed under: uncultured organism
Description: bacterial SSU rRNA
Rfam family: Bacterial small subunit ribosomal RNA
Source: RNAcentral